AGAAUCAACGCUGGCGGCGUGCCUAACACAUGCAAGUCGAACGAGAAAGGGUAGCAAUACCUGAGUAAAGUGGCGCACGGGUGAGUAACACGUGACUAACCUACCCUGGAGUGGGGGAUAACUGAGGGAAACCUUAGCUAAUACCGCAUAAUACCUACGGGUCAAAGGAGCAAUUCGCUUCAGGAGGGGGUCGCGGCCGAUUAGUUAGUUGGCGGGGUAAUGGCCCACCAAGACGAUGAUCGGUAUCCGGCCUGAGAGGGCGCACGGACACACUGGAACUGAAACACGGUCCAGACUCCUACGGGAGGCAGCAGUGGGGAAUUUUGCGCAAUGGGGGAAACCCUGACGCAGCAACGCCGCGUGGAGGAUGAAGUCCCUUGGGACGUAAACUCCUUUCGACCGGGACGAUACUGACGGUACCGGAUGAAGAGCACCGGCUAACUCUGCGCCAGCAGCCGC
RNAcentral lists this ribosomal RNA (459 nucleotides) under uncultured bacterium. RNAcentral describes it as "SSU rRNA". It matches the Rfam family "Bacterial small subunit ribosomal RNA", at positions 26 to 518 of the family's 1533-position model. The record is from RNAcentral.